This is a non-coding RNA of Elaeis guineensis (African oil palm), 1551 nucleotides long. Lineage: Eukaryota; Viridiplantae; Streptophyta; Magnoliopsida; Arecales; Arecaceae. The record is from RefSeq and is a predicted model, not a curated record.
UAACUUUUCAACCAGUAGAGAGAGUGGUUAACAACUCGCACACCGGGGCUCCGUUGGAUGUGAGGUGCCCAUCAAAGAUUGCUUGGUGUUUUAGCCUUUUGGGUCCUCCUCCCCAACCUUAACUCUCUCUCUCUCUGAUAUUUGGCUGCAAAGCAAGUUCCCAUCUUUAUUGCUUGGUUACUUUUUUCCCGGGACCCUGUUCCUUCUUCCUCCCUUGCUGGUUUCAUCUUUUGUGUGGCCUCGGAGUUAUACUGGCGGAAGAAAAAUCAUCUUUUUCUUCCGCCUUCCCCGUUUUAAAGCUGUUUCCCCUCUGCUUUGUUUGUUAUCCAAUGCAUUUAUUGUUCUUUUCCUGUUUGGGGUUCUUUGAGUUCUCAUUAGAUGUUUAAAGGUUGAACCUUGAUGUUGGGUUUUGUUGUUUUGAAGAAAUUUUAUAAAUUUCUGUUGUCUUUUUGGUUCUUGGUGCCUAUUUGCAGUUGUGUUUUUCUCCUUGUGUUUCCUUGAGUUUUAUUGGGGUUUCUGUUGAGAAUUCUGAUGUCUGGUGAAAAUGGUUGAGGCUUGAAGUUGAAUUGUCUGAUUUAAGGGGUUUCCCCCAAUGUUUGUUGCUUUUUUGUGUCAUAAGUUGGGCUUUAAGUAGUUGUAAUAUGCUGGUCUCAAAUCUAUUUUCAUGAGGGUGUUUUCCUGCAAAUCCUACUGCCCCUUCAUCUGCUCCUCGAAGUCAUCCCUCCGCCUUUACUCGCCUUGCGCUUUGAAAUCGGAAGAUAUCCAGCAUGCUUCUUCUAGUCCAUGUCCAAUUAUUCAUGGCGUGGAGGAGAGAUUGCCAGAUGAAAAAAUGGUGGUUGAGAAGAUUGAUGGAUCAGUCCAUGGGAAAGUUGAGACCUUGCUAAAAAGCAUCCUUAAGAAGUCAUCAGGGUCUGGUCCAAAAGAGGUCGGAAAGAGGGAGGUGAAGUGGAUGGAUAUGGUGGGAAAGGAACUUGUUGAAAUCAAAGAAUUUGAACCCAUAUAUUCUCCUUGAGAGGGCCAAGACAAAACUCGCCUAAUUGGAAGAACAUAUAUUUGCUUUGAAGGAAUAUUUUGAUCAUCUGGGCAUUUAACAUCUCACCUUCUUAUGUCUUGCAAGUCAAUGUUUGAUGCCCACGCUGAUCAUUGUGCAGAGUUUGGCAAGUGCAAAUGGAUUCUCUAUAUGUGAACCAGGAGAGCUAGAUGACAAUGACCAUGGCAACCCAGCUUGUAUUUGUGUUAUCCAAUAACCAAGCGACCCAUCUCAAGAGACCAAGCACUCGCUCAUCAUCCAGCUACUGUGAAUUAAAGAUUUAAAUUUUUCUCAGUUGAUAUGCUGUGGUACCUAGUACCUUUUACUCUCAUUUCCUGAUUAAAUUGUUUUCCUUUCUCCUAAAUAUAUAUUUUUUCCAAGAUGUCUGGUAGGCACUACUGUUUGCUUGUUCUUUCCAGAUUCAUUCUGCUAAAUCUUUUGGGGAUCGAAUGUUUUUUUCCUGCGAAUAUAAGGAUGUUGAUUGACUGAAUGAUAGUACUAUGCCAUUUCAUUUCUGCUCA